This 239-nucleotide long non-coding RNA is filed under the name Elaeis guineensis (African oil palm). RNAcentral's name for it is "long non-coding RNA (EGUI_LNC014688)". Lineage: Eukaryota; Viridiplantae; Streptophyta; Magnoliopsida; Arecales; Arecaceae. The record is from RNAcentral.
UAAAAGGUAUUUGUCAGCAGUAAGGCAUACUUUUUGGCAAAGGAGUUCCUUAGUGAAGGAACAAGUGCCUCUAAAGUCGAGCUUGAUGAAGUUUGACAGGUAAAAGAACCGACACCAGUGAUUGAAUCAAAACUAGAAUUGAUUGGAUCAAAUCUAAAGCCCAAUAUAUAAUCAACUUUAAGGCGAUCCAGUAGAGUAUCACAUCAGUCGAAUAGAUACUUAGAUUUCUUGGUCUGGGA